Molecule: long non-coding RNA, 149 nt
Organism: Lutra lutra (Eurasian river otter)
Lineage: Eukaryota; Metazoa; Chordata; Mammalia; Carnivora; Mustelidae
Exons: 3
Source: RefSeq, a predicted model, not a curated record
UUAUCUGAUAUUUGCCAUGACAGAGAUUACUUGAUAUUAUUCAAAACUUAAUUUCUUAAAAGUACAUAUUUUCAUAACAUCGUUAAGAAAGUUUCCCAAAACUGUGCCCAAAAAAUGAUCUAUUUAGAUAUCAAUUGGAUUAAAGGGUA